UAUCAUCAUUUCACAUGGACUCUCCAGCGGCCUGCAGGAGCACCUUGGAGAGGCUGGUGGGCCAGGUCGGCACUGUACCUGCAGCUGCCACCCACCUUUCCUACAAUG
Otolemur garnettii (small-eared galago) is the source of this 108-nucleotide small nucleolar RNA. The record is from Ensembl. Lineage: Eukaryota; Metazoa; Chordata; Mammalia; Primates; Galagidae.